Molecule: microRNA, 22 nt
Filed under: Strongyloides ratti
Lineage: Eukaryota; Metazoa; Nematoda; Chromadorea; Rhabditida; Strongyloididae
Description: str-miR-8375-3p
Source: miRBase by way of RNAcentral
UUUGGGACCUGUGUUUAAGUAA